RNAcentral lists this ribosomal RNA (228 nucleotides) under uncultured Enterobacterales bacterium. Its description in RNAcentral is "partial 16S ribosomal RNA". It matches the Rfam family "Bacterial small subunit ribosomal RNA", at positions 548 to 775 of the family's 1533-position model. Lineage: Bacteria; Pseudomonadati; Pseudomonadota; Gammaproteobacteria; Enterobacterales. The record is from RNAcentral.
GAAUUACUGGGCGUAAAGCGCACGCAGGCGGUUUGUUAAGUCAGAUGUGAAAUCCCGGGGCUCAACCUGGGAACUGCAUCUGAUACUGGCAAGCUUGAGUCUCGUAGAGGGGGGUAGAAUUCCAGGUGUAGCGGUGAAAUGCGUAGAGAUCUGGAGGAAUACCGGUGGCGAAGGCGGCCCCCUGGACGAAGACUGACGCUCAGGUGCGAAAGCGUGGGGAGCAAACAG